This 427-nucleotide ribosomal RNA is filed under the name uncultured bacterium. Its description in RNAcentral is "partial 16S ribosomal RNA". It matches the Rfam family "Bacterial small subunit ribosomal RNA", at positions 355 to 774 of the family's 1533-position model. RNAcentral also lists the same sequence under 1 other name. The record is from RNAcentral.
UGGGGAAUAUUGCGCAAUGGGGGGAACCCUGACGCAGCCAUGCCGCGUGAAUGAAGAAGGCCUUCGGGUUGUAAAGUUCUUUCGGUAUUGAGGAAGGAGUGUAUGUUAAUAGCAUACAUUAUUGACGUUAAAUACAGAAGAAGCACCGGCUAACUCCGUGCCAGCAGCCGCGGUAAUACGGAGGGUGCGAGCGUUAAUCGGAAUAACUGGGCGUAAAGGGCACGCAGGCGGUUAUUUAAGUGAGGUGUGAAAGCCCCGGGCUUAACCUGGGAAUUGCAUUUCAGACUGGGUAACUAGAGUACUUUAGGGAGGGGUAGAAUUCCACGUGUAGCGGUGAAAUGCGUAGAGAUGUGGAGGAAUACCGAAGGCGAAGGCAGCCCCUUGGGAAUGUACUGACGCUCAUGUGCGAAAGCGUGGGGAGCAAACA